This 1289-nucleotide long non-coding RNA is filed under the name Androctonus crassicauda. The record is from RNAcentral. Lineage: Eukaryota; Metazoa; Arthropoda; Arachnida; Scorpiones; Buthidae.
UAGCAUUGAUGGUGAGAUUGAGUAGAGCAAAUGCUGGAUUAAAAGUUUUAGGUGCACUUAAAAGGUAUGCUAAGAAUAGAAUCUAUCAAAGAAUAAUAGGCUCUGAUAUAUCCAAAUUUAAUAAAAUUAAAUUUGGAUAUAUCAAUGUGCUAGUUUCAGCAUUGAUAUAUGGAAAUGAACAUGGUUAUAGGGUGAAAGGAAUAGAAAAUGUAUGGGUGCAGUGGAGAUGAGAGAGUUGAGAGGUGUAAUUGAAUUUUGCAUUAUGUCAAACUGAGCUAACUUUGCUUCACUGAUGAAAAUUAUUAAAAAACACAAGCACAAUAAGCAAAGUAACCAAAAUUUAAUAAGGUAAAACAGUACUGAUGAGAGAGAAAACAUAAUGUUUGAAAGUGUUUUACCCUAUUAAAUUUUGGUUGCUUUGCUUAUUGUGCUUGUGUUUUUUAAUAAUUUUCAUCAGUGAAGCAAAGUUAGUUCAGUUUGCUUUUUAAGAUUAUAAUAAUGCUAAUUAUUGCAGAUGUAUUUUGCAUUAUAUAAUAACAUAAUAUAUUAAGGCUCAAAAAUGCAUUAUAAUCUUUUAUAUUUAAAUUAAUGAUAAUUUUAUUCUUAAUUUACAAUAAUUCUAUUGUAAGUAUUUUUCAAGAUUAUAUUGUAAACUGAGGUUAAGUGUAUGUUGUCAUUCUUGAAGUAGUGAUUGGCCAGAUGAUCAUAUUGUAAAGCAAUUGCUUAAAAUCUUAAAGGAUCCAGGCCCAUUCUCAGUUCCCAUUUCAGUUUCAGAGGACCAUUUCAGUCUAUAGGCCCAUUUUCAGUUUUUCAGAGGAAUCCAACCCCAUCUGUUGAAUGUUAUCCAUCAUUCUUCUGAUGAUCCCAUCAUGAAUAUUGGCCAGCCUAUGGCUGCUACCAGAUAUAGUAUAUCCUAUGUAUGAUAUGAUGGCAUAUUAAAAUCAUCCUUAAUCUGAAAUUGUUGUUAUUGAUUCCAAGACUAGCAAUGAAAGUUAAGAAAAAUUUCCCAUAAAUGCAAUAUUGAAAUUGAAUAAGUGCUUUCAUACACUAAUUGUUUGACAAAAUGCAAAUAUCUCUCCUAUAACAUGUACUCCUACAACACUGUUUUGCUCCAACUUAAUUUGAUAUUUGCUAGUUUGCUGUGAGAGGCCGAUACACAGUCUAUUUUCAGUUUUGAUUUGAAACUGAAUUAAUUUUGAUUUACUUCAUUAAUUGUUACCAUUUGAGUAUUUUGUGUUCCAAACAUACAGUUCUUGGAUAAAAAGUACAUUUUUAUUAUUCAAUAGAGG